GAGCUCGCGGCCUAUCAGGUAGUUGGUGAGGUAAUGGCUCACCAAGCCAAUGACGGGUAGCUGGUCUGAGAGGAUGGUCAGCCAUACUGGAACUGAGACACGGUCCAGACUCCUACGGGAGGCAGCAGCCGAGAAUCUUCCGCAAUGGGCGAAAGCCUGACGGAGCGACACCGCGUGUAGGACGAAAGCCUUCGGGUUGUAAACUACUGUCACUUGGGACGGGACUGUACCAAGAGAGGAAGCCACGGCUAACUCUGUGCCAGCAGCCGCGGUAAUACAGAGGUGGCGAGCGUUGUUCGGAUUGACUGGGUGUAAAGGGUGCGUAGGCGGCUUGGCAAGUCGGAUGUGAAAUCCUGCAGCUCAACUGCAGAACGGCAUUCGAAACUGCCAGGCUAGAGUGCGAGAGAGGUGAAGGGAAUUCCCGGUGUAAGGGUGAAAUCUGUAGAG
This 447-nucleotide ribosomal RNA is filed under the name uncultured bacterium. RNAcentral's name for it is "bacterial SSU rRNA". It matches the Rfam family "Bacterial small subunit ribosomal RNA", at positions 227 to 695 of the family's 1533-position model. The record is from RNAcentral.